Molecule: ribosomal RNA, 405 nt
Filed under: Enterobacter hormaechei
Lineage: Bacteria; Pseudomonadati; Pseudomonadota; Gammaproteobacteria; Enterobacterales; Enterobacteriaceae
Description: bacterial SSU rRNA
Rfam family: Bacterial small subunit ribosomal RNA
Source: RNAcentral
CCGGGAACUUAGCAGAGAUGCUUUGGUGCCUUCGGGAACUCUGAGACAGGUGCUGCAUGGCUGUCGUCAGCUCGUGUUGUGAAAUGUUGGGUUAAGUCCCGCAACGAGCGCAACCCUUAUCCUUUGUUGCCAGCGGUUAGGCCGGGAACUCAAAGGAGACUGCCAGUGAUAAACUGGAGGAAGGUGGGGAUGACGUCAAGUCAUCAUGGCCCUUACGAGUAGGGCUACACACGUGCUACAAUGGCGCAUACAAAGAGAAGCGACCUCGCGAGAGCAAGCGGACCUCAUAAAGUGCGUCGUAGUCCGGAUUGGAGUCUGCAACUCGACUCCAUGAAGUCGGAAUCGCUAGUAAUCGUGGAUCAGAAUGCCACGGUGAAUACGUUCCCGGGUCUUGUAACACACCGA